This is a small nuclear RNA of Bufo bufo (common toad), 111 nucleotides long. Lineage: Eukaryota; Metazoa; Chordata; Amphibia; Anura; Bufonidae. The record is from RefSeq and is a predicted model, not a curated record.
GUGCUCGCUUCGGCAACACAAAUACUAAUAAAAAUUAGAACUAUACAAAGAAGGUUAGCAUGGUCACUGCGCAAGAAUGACAUUCAAAUUUGUGAGGCGUUCCAUAAAAAA